This 90-nucleotide transfer RNA is filed under the name Acidobacteriota bacterium. RNAcentral describes it as "tRNA-Ser". It matches the Rfam family "tRNA". From Rfam's summary of the family: Transfer RNA (tRNA) molecules are approximately 80 nucleotides in length. Their secondary structure includes four short double-helical elements and three loops (D, anti-codon, and T loops). Further hydrogen bonds mediate the characteristic L-shaped molecular structure. tRNAs have two regions of fundamental functional importance: the anti-codon, which is responsible for specific mRNA codon recognition, and the 3' end, to which the tRNAs corresponding amino acid is attached (by aminoacyl-tRNA synthetases). tRNAs cope with the degeneracy of the genetic code in two manners: having more than one tRNA (with a specific anti-codon) for a particular amino acid; and 'wobble' base-pairing, i.e. permitting non-standard base-pairing at the 3rd anti-codon position. The record is from RNAcentral. Lineage: Bacteria; Pseudomonadati; Acidobacteriota. RNAcentral also lists the same sequence under 2 other names.
GGAGAGGUGCAGGAGUGGCUGAACUGGCAGCACUGGAAAUGCUGUGUACGGGGAACCGUACCGUGGGUUCGAAUCCCACCCUCUCCGCCA